This 463-nucleotide ribosomal RNA is filed under the name uncultured bacterium. Its description in RNAcentral is "partial 16S ribosomal RNA". It matches the Rfam family "Bacterial small subunit ribosomal RNA", at positions 28 to 507 of the family's 1533-position model. The record is from RNAcentral.
GAUGAACGCUGACAGAAUGCUUAACGCAUGCAAGUCUUUGGCGAAGCUGUGCUCUCACAGCCUAGCCAAGGCGGACGGGUGAGUAACGCGUAAGGAACUUGCCCUGCAGUCAGGGAUAACAGACGGAAACGACUGAUAAGACCUGGUAAAGUCAGGCGGACUCAUGUCCAGCCUGAUGAAAAGAGAUGCUGCAGGAGAGCCUUGCGUCCUAUUAGCUUGUUGGUGGGGUAACGGCCCACCAAGGCGAUGAUAGGUAGCCGGCCUGAGAGGGUGGACGGCCACAAGGGGACUGAGAUACGGCCCUUACUCCUACGGGAGGCAGCAGUGGGGAAUAUUGGACAAUGGGGGCAACCCUGAUCCAGCAAUUCUGUGUGCACGAUGAAGGUUUUCGGAGUGUAAAGUGCUUUCAGCAGGGAAGAAAAAAAUGACGGUACCUGCAGAAGAAGCGACGGCUAAAUACGUG